UCCUUAGAUGUUCUGAACCGCACGCGUGUUACACUGAUGCAUUCAACGAGCUUUACCUUGGCCGAGAGGCCUGGGAAAUCUUUUUAGCAUGCAUCGUGAUAGGGAUUGAUUAUUGCAAUUAUUAAUCAUGAACGAGGAAUUCCUAGUAAACGCAUUUCAUCAAAAUGCAUUGAUUACGUCCCUGCCCUUUGUACACACCGCCCGUCGCACCUACCGAUUGAGUGGUCCGGUGAAGUCUCGAGAUUGUGGCAAUCUCCUUUAUUGGAGUUUGACUGCGAGAACUUGCCUAAACCUUAUCACUUAGAGGAAGGUGAAGUCGUAACA
This 324-nucleotide ribosomal RNA is filed under the name uncultured eukaryote. RNAcentral describes it as "partial 18S ribosomal RNA". It matches the Rfam family "Eukaryotic small subunit ribosomal RNA", at positions 1470 to 1796 of the family's 1831-position model. The record is from RNAcentral.